Molecule: transfer RNA, 65 nt
Filed under: Linognathus africanus
Lineage: Eukaryota; Metazoa; Arthropoda; Insecta; Psocodea; Linognathidae
Description: tRNA-Trp
Source: RNAcentral
GAGAUCUUAAGUUAAACACUAAACUGUUACUGUUCAAAAGUAAAUAUACAAUAAUGUAGAUCUUA